AUUGAACGCUAGCGGGAUGCUUUACACAUGCAAGUCGAACGGCAGCGCGGACUUCGGUCUGGCGGCGAGUGGCGAACGGGUGAGUAAUGUAUCGGAACGUGCCCAGUAGCGGGGGAUAACUACGCGAAAGCGUAGCUAAUACCGCAUACGCCCUACGGGGGAAAGCUGGGGAUCGUAAGACCUUGCACUAUUGGAGCGGCCGAUAUCGGAUUAGCUAGUUGGUGAGGUAACGGCUCACCAAGGCGACGAUCCGUAGCUGGUUUGAGAGGACGACCAGCCACACUGGGACUGAGACACGGCCCAGACUCCUACGGGAGGCAGCAGUGGGGAAUUUUGGACGAUGGGGGCAACCCUGAUCCAGCCAUCCCGCGUGUGCGAUGAAGGCCUUCGGGUUGUAAAGCACUUUUGGCAGGAAAGAAACGUCGCGGGCUAAUACCCCGUGGAACUGACGGUACCUGCAGAAUAAGCACCGGCUAACUACGUG
RNAcentral lists this ribosomal RNA (484 nucleotides) under uncultured bacterium. RNAcentral's name for it is "partial 16S ribosomal RNA". It matches the Rfam family "Bacterial small subunit ribosomal RNA", at positions 30 to 507 of the family's 1533-position model. The record is from RNAcentral.